AAAUUUUAUCUGCUAUUGACAGUGUUGUUAUCGAGAUAUGCGUUUGCUGUAUCGUUAUUAAAACUUUAAAUAGAAGGGAUAAAUAGCAAAAUUUAUCAGGAGGAAGCAUGGACAGUGACGUUCAGAGGUGCGGAAGGUUGAUUGACCAGGUGGACAGCAAAUGGAGGGAGGACAAAUUACCCGAUGAAGAUAUAGCUGUGCCUCUAAUUGAACUGCCUGACCCAGAACCAGAUAAUGGUAAUCCCCAUGAAACAUUGAAAGAACAAGAACAGAAAUGGACAGAUCUAGGACUGAAUAGGAUAAAUGAUCAAUCCCAGACAGGCCGAAUUCCCAGUAAUUAAACCAGAGUCAGAAGCGGAAAUGUGUGCGACAAAAGACUGAUUUUUUGCAACUACUGUGUCACACAAUUCGGAGUGAAAAAUAAUCAUUCCUCGUUUUAUUCUGACGUUUUUGUUUUGUAAAAAACCAAUAAAAUCAUUUGCUUAUUUG
Long non-coding RNA from Limulus polyphemus (Atlantic horseshoe crab), 489 nucleotides. RefSeq lists it as uncharacterized. The record is from RefSeq and is a predicted model, not a curated record. The transcript has 2 exons. Lineage: Eukaryota; Metazoa; Arthropoda; Merostomata; Xiphosura; Limulidae.